UAGCUCAACAACAUCAUGAUUUUAUAUUCAAGUAAGUAAGAAUAGCAACUUUUUCUUUUUAUUUGCUUACUAGUAUCCAUGGGGGUCCAUAGGGAUGUCCCACUACGCGUGAACCAACAUCCAACCUUGUUAACUAACUGGCUGUUCCCGUAUCUCAUCCUGUAUGAGUGCCAAAAAUAUCAUCCCUCAAUAUCUUGUCUAGUAUGAGGGUUAAACGGACAGUCCUCAUACCCCAUCCGGUAUGAGCGCCAAAAAUACCAAUCUCCGAUACCCUGUCCGGUAUUAGACGACAUUGACGGUAGGCUUCCCUUUGUACCAGGUUCGUCCACCAUCUUCCAAGAUAUCUAGUACGGCUACCAUUCAGUCAUUCACUUAACCAAUCAAUUUUCUGUUUACCUUUAAUUUUUAGUUUCACAAUUUAACCGUAAAUCGAUGCAAGACAAAUCAUACAUGCAUCAAG
RNAcentral lists this long non-coding RNA (460 nucleotides) under Carica papaya (papaya). Its description in RNAcentral is "long non-coding RNA (CPAP_LNC003761)". The record is from RNAcentral. Lineage: Eukaryota; Viridiplantae; Streptophyta; Magnoliopsida; Brassicales; Caricaceae.